CUGGUUAGUGCCCUGAUCCAUAGUGUGUUUCACUGAGUAUCGAGUUUCAAUGGGUAUCCAUCCUCUUGUGUAUUGCUCCCAAUGAACAACAGUUAUAGCAUGCUUUGAACUAUCAUCUUAGAGAGAUAUUUUCCAACAUCUAAGGUGUAUGGUGAUGGGAUGAUGGAAGCUUUUGCUGAAGGAGUUCUCCUGGACCUCCUGGUGCUCCAAACCGUUCUACUAUGACCUCUGUCUUCUUAUAUUGCUCCUCUGGCACCAAAUGUUUCAUGCACUGAAGAUCCAGGAAACAUCAGUCAUCACUGCACACAGGGGUGGAACUGUUAAUUAAUCGAGCAGGAAUGCAACAUUGUAUUGGACAGUGAGUCCUAUUUAAGGAGGAAGAAAGGAGGAGGCAGAAAGCAGCAUGGUGUUGCAGAGUCAGUCACUAUCCCCCAUGGAGCCCCAAGUGCUUCUCGGAGCACAGUUUGAGAACCCCUGGUCUAGAUCUCCAAUUUUCACCCCAUUUUACUUCUAGUAGGAUCUAUUUGUUCAUGUCAUCCUUUUAAUAAAAAAAUCCACAGGUGAAUAUUUGAAAUGUGAAUUGUAGCUAAGCUAAAAUUACUGGUUUAGACAGUAAAGUAGAAUCUCAUUGAUGUUGCUUUUAGUUCCGAAUG
Long non-coding RNA from Anolis carolinensis (green anole), 653 nucleotides. RefSeq lists it as uncharacterized. The record is from RefSeq and is a predicted model, not a curated record. The transcript is spliced from 5 exons. NCBI's taxonomy places the organism in Eukaryota, Metazoa, Chordata, Lepidosauria, Squamata, Anolidae.